RNAcentral lists this transfer RNA (76 nucleotides) under Tepidimonas ignava. Its description in RNAcentral is "tRNA-Thr". It matches the Rfam family "tRNA". From Rfam's summary of the family: Transfer RNA (tRNA) molecules are approximately 80 nucleotides in length. Lineage: Bacteria; Pseudomonadati; Pseudomonadota; Betaproteobacteria; Burkholderiales. The record is from RNAcentral. RNAcentral also lists the same sequence under 10 other names.
GCCGCAAUAGCUCAGCUGGUAGAGCAACUGAUUCGUAAUCAGUAGGUCGGAGGUUCGAAUCCUCUUUGCGGCACCA